UUUCAAAAGGGUUUAUAUCGUUUUCUUCUUUUAAAAAAAAUAUAAUGAGAAAAACCCAAAUUUAACCUCCUGUUCGCCGUUCUUCUCUCCGUUGCCGUCGUUGCUUAUACUUCACGCCGUCGUUGCUAACUCAUUGUCGUCCAAUCACGACCCAUUGUUGUUUGAUUGAGAGCCACCCAAGUCAGAGCCUUCUCACAAUAUCAUCGUCGUCCUCACCAUCACUCCCACCCCGAGGCAAUCUUGCACCACCACUGUUCUCGCGCCGCUGUCGUCCUCACCACUUUGUUGCUCAUUGCUUUGCAAUUAGGUUAGAGCAGCUUAUGAGGCCAAUUUGAAGAGACUUGCGGUUGAUAGCAUCGAUCUCUAUUGCCAGCACUGGAUCGACACCAGGGUCCCAAUUGAAGUCACGGUUUGCUCAUUUUACCCUCUUUCCUUUUGAUCAAAUUUCAUGAUUUCCCUUUUUUGAUUCUUUUAAUCAUCAAGUUCUUAUAUGGGUUUUUGUCAAAUUUUUAACUAUAUAUAUAAAUGUAUAACUUGGUUGUGAUUUUGGUAUUUCCAUUGUUAUGUAGAGUGUAUAUAUAAUUAGAUUGACAAGGAUUGAAAAACUUGAAUUCCUCAUCCAUUUUGUACUUAAUUUGAAUUUCUAACCUUUAGGUACUACAUUUGUGUAAAUGUUGUAAUUUGGUACUCUCUCUCUCUAUAUAUAUAUACAUAAAUAUAUAAACAUGGUUUUCGUAUUUUGGAUACAUGUUGUAUUUUCCAUGAAUCAUUUGCUUAUAAACAUUCAAAAUAUAAGAAUUUCUCUUUCAUAUAAAGCAAUAUAUGGUAAAAAGCUACGGCCUAUAACUAUGAUAUAUUCCAAUUGCCAUCCUUUGGUGUAAAAAGCUUUUCAAGAAUAACCUACCACUCAAAUAAAACUGUGUUUCGAAAUUAUGUACUGAAACGAAACUAUAUGAGCCUGAUCUACUUUAUGCACUUGUCUUUACUGCUUGGUUGAAAUAUUUACACAGAAUGUUUGCAGAAUCUUUUGCUCAGUCUUAUUAUUUCAAUUACCAUAGUUUACUGCUUUGCCUUGCAAUUCAUUUGAUAUUUCCAGCCCUCCUAAUCUUCAAUCUCUAGCCUAUUUAUCUUAGUUCAACCAAAUGAGAUUAAUUUGAAGAAAAAAAUGAUCAAAGCUUUCAAAUUAAUAAUUAUCUUGUUGAGGUUUCCUUUCUCUUUCUCUUUCUAAUUUUUCUUCAUAUGGCCUACUCCAAUUUUAUUCCAAACUCAAGCUGAGCUCUACUUCUAAAAGAAUUAUAUCUAUCUUAUAAGCUUAGGACUGUGUGGUUAAUUAAGAUUGAUGUCCAGGCAAUACAUAUUUAGUUUACUAGUAAUCAGUGAGUUAUCCUUUGAAAACUCUCACUGACUGAACACAAAGAGAUAAAAAGAGGAAGAAAUGGUUCGCAUUGAUGUAUGGGUAAAUCUUAAUAAUUCCAUCCACAAUGUUUGGGAGCAUGUUUUGUUUUUUGAGGAUUAUAUAUAUAUAUAUAAAUAUAAGGAGAUCAGAGCAGAGUCCAUUGACUUUGCAUAGAAAAGACUUGCUUCUUCUUGUGAUGUCCAUUAUGAUCCCUUUGAAACAAAUCUCUAAUUUGCUUUGUUGGUCUUCUUUGCAAUAGACCUACAUUAAACCAGUCCAAAAGUUGGUAAAUCCCAACUUUUACUUUUUGUAAAUUGAAUUUUUAUAGUUUUACUCCAUGUUGGUCUUUCGAGAGUUUCGACAUGUGAAACCCAAAAAGGGGCAGCAUUUGUGAUGAUUGAAAACAGGAGAUGCGGUUGAGAAAACAUUUCAAGCUGGAGUAAUGGUAAAUUCUUUUGAACUUCCAAUGUGUAAUAUCAUUAUGUAGAUGACUUUUGAUAACAUAGUCUUCAUGUUUUGAUUGUACUUUGUAUAAACUCCAUUUUCAAAUUUGUCCCAAUUGGGAUUAUGAAUGGGAUAGUCUUCAAUUGGGUCUUCAUUGAUAGGAGAUUACACCCUGAGAGUGAGUAAUUCUAAAUAUUUAAAGGGCUCGAUUAGCAAUUUGUUGAAACUCAAUAGUUAAUGAUAAGACACAAAUAAUUGAAAGAGAAUGAUUUCUGCUUGGUUUCGUUUACUAGAUUUGAUGUUCUUAUACACUUGAAAUAUAUACACAUUAAUUAAUUAUUACAUUAAAACUUUACAGCUUUCUUUCUCUUCUUGCUAAUGAUGAUAUGCUUCUGAUCAUAUUCAUGGAAAAAACUGUGUUGUUUAUUACCACCUACUAAUAUGGAAGAAGUGUGAUUUGACUUGAUAUCUCAUUGCACAUGUGCUUUAUCAUGACCAUGGUUUAACCUCUUGCUGGUGAUCUAAUUAAUGCAUCCAAGGGUUUUGCCUGGCCUGCUCAUAUGAUACCCAAUCAUAUGGUAUCCAAGCUAAGCAAUUCUAUGACACUAGUAUGAAUUUAGGUCUCUCCGGUUCAGGUAGGACCAUAGUUCUUGAAUUUCUACACGAAUAAAGAUCAAGAAAAGGAGUGUUGCAUGUGUGUUUUACAUUAUUUAACAAUGUCAUCUCUCUCAUUUUGCCUUCACAUUUACUCGUCAUGUGCAUCAUUUCCACAAGCUCCAUAGUUUUGACCAUGAUCAUACAAAAAGAAAAAAAAAAAAAAAAUUGAUUAAGAAUAUGGUAAAAUAUCACAUGAGAAUAUUGCUUUACUUACCUAUCUCCAUCUUGCUUUUGGUAUUUUGCAUCUCACUUUGUGAAAUUAUUGGCUUUCAAAUAUUUUAUGGGUGGAACUUCUAAUUUUUCCCUGAAUAUAUAUGUAAAGUGGGGUCCAACCCACGUUUGGUUUUUCGGAAUGUGCAUUUACUGAUAUGUAAGGUUUGAAUGAUGAUGGUUUCUUUUGUCCUUAGCUGAGUACACCACCAAUGCCCAGCUAGUAACCUGCAAAGAGUGUUUUGAUAUUUUCUAUAAAAAUUUACACUAAACAGUCAUUUAUGUUCUUGUUUUUGGGGAACUCAUCAAACACAAAUACAAGCUCCUCCAUAUUCACGAGCAAACAUUAGUUAGAGAUUGACAAGUCUCCAAUAAUGUGGCUUCGUGAGAAUAAUGCAUUAUUAAUGUUAUAUUCAUAAUAACUCUAAUUCUUCUGAAGCUGCCCAUUGUUCUUGCUUUACUUAGUAUAAACUUCAUGUAGUUUGUCACUUCAAGAAUGUUUGAACCUUCUAUCUUAUUAUAUGUUAUGUGUAUAUAUGUGUGUGUGUGUGUGGCCAUCUAUAUUAUAUGUGGAUGUGUGUGUGUCUUAAAAAGGGAGUAGCAAAACAUUCUAUGUAUUUGUGUGGAAAUAGUGUCUACAUAACAGAGUUGAAAAACAGUGUGUUGUGGAAAUAGUGUUUGAAAACAUCGUGGUAGUGAAAUGAGACUUUUUGGGGCUAGUCGUGCCUGCUAGGUGCCCAUUUGCCAUUUAAGUAAUCUUCUUCGAUCUCCUUGUAGUUUUGACUUUGAGACACAAUGUAUAAUAUGGAAGGAUAUAUAGUUCUUUGUAGAAGUCUUCGUAUAACAUAGGGAGACACAAUGUACAAUAUGUAGAGCAUUGGAACUUCCCAAGUUGGUAAAGUCAAAAGUAAAAUUUCUAUGGCAUCUGGAAUAUUUUCCUCCUGUCAGAAAUAAUUUUCUCCUAUCGAAAAACAAUUUCCUCCUGCUGGAAAUCAAUUUAUUCUUGUUGGAAAACAAUCUCCUCCAAUUGGAAAAUCAUUUCUGACAAAUGGAUAAGCAUUUACUAUGGUGUGAAAAUUUUUCUAAACCUUCAAAAUACCAUUCCUUUGGCGUAAUUUUUUUUCUAGAUUUAGGCCGACCAGUACAUAAGCGACCAUCAGUUCAGGAGAGAAGCAAGCUACCUUUCUUUGAUCCACCUUCCCGGGCGGGGAAGAGAACGAAAAUAGGCCACGGAUGGUGGUCCCGGUAGGUUCGAGGAUCUUACGCGCGGAGCGACCUCCUCUAUCAUGUUGCAUUCCCUCUGGCGGCGUAGGUGCACCCUUUCGAUCCAUCGUACUGGAGCAAUCCGAGAAGAACGAUUAGGUACUUGAUGGUUGGUGUACGAGAUGCUACUGAAGAUGAGCUCUCAUAUGUUGGCAAAAUUGUUUGGGAUGUACAUCAUGAUAGUAGUUCCUAUGGUUUUGCACUUGUUGCCAGAGAUAAGCCGCCAUAAGAUAGUAGUGCUGAAAAAAAGGGCUGUUUCACACAAAAUCGGUGGAAAAAUAAUGAAAAGUAAACAUGUAAAUAUGGAAAAUGAUAAGGUGAAAAGAGGAAGGCGAAUAAAUGAUACACCUACAGGCUAUGGUGAUCAUGGUAAUUAUACUACACCAUUUGCAUGUCAUCCUUUGUACUCGGCUAUAGGAGCUGGUGACCAUGAUGGUGUUGAUACAAUGACUUCGCAACAACCGUCAUCCCUUGAUGAGGUAUUUUUGAGAUAUAGAUUAACUAUUCUUGAAGGCGAAAUGGUUGAUGUACAUCAAGAUAUUAAAGACUUAAGAAUUUCUGUGUAGGGAGUUUGCAAAGUUGGAGAUUAAACUAGAUAGACUAAUGGAACACAACGAAGUGCGAGUUCAAGAGAACAAUGAUAACCAAAGGCCAUACAAUGAUUGUUUAAACCUUCAUUUAGGAGGUUGGGCGAUUAGGGAUGUGAUGACAUUCUCAGUUUAGGAGAUAAAUGGAAAGCACAUUUGGGAGAUGAUGCAAUUGCUAGUUUGGGAGAUGAUAGGAAUGUAGAAUUGAGAGGUGAUGUCACUGUCAAUUUGGGAAAUGAGAUGAAAUCAGAAGUUGAAGGUGAUAUCGAGAUAGAAGACAAAAGGAAAGAAUAGUUGGGACGUGAUACCAUGCCUAAUGAUUUGCAAGUAGAAGCAUGUCUAUUUGAUAAACAGUUGCGUCCAUCAGUUUUGGGUGAUAUAGAAAAGAGUGUUGAGAUUAUCAUCACAGUAUCUCUAUCGAAGUCUCCCGCUGGAAGACAUGAUAUAAAGAUGGCAGUUGCUAAACAGUUGUUAGACAUUGAGAGACAUGAUAGGAAGGCCGCAACUGCUAUUAGUACUCCAUGCAAUGUUGGGUGCAUAAGUAAAAAACUACAGCACACCUUACCUGAACCGUUAUCUAUUUUGAAGUUUGACAUAUAUAGAUCAUUACCCAUUAAACUUGCAAAAACGUUUGACCAAUAUAUGAAGACGGUUGAUUGUGCAGUAGAGGUUAAAGCCUUUUUUGGUAGGAUUCUAAUAAGUGAAUGAUGGCUAAUUUAUGAUGUAAGUAUGCUUUGGAUCCAGUUUUUUAUUUAUUAGUUUUUUAAAAAUUUUAUGGUUGUAAUUUGAAAUUAAUUUGUAUUUCAAUGCAGCAUAUAAAAAUUAUGCCUUACUUAUUC
This is a long non-coding RNA of Ziziphus jujuba (common jujube), 5396 nucleotides long. RefSeq lists it as uncharacterized. Lineage: Eukaryota; Viridiplantae; Streptophyta; Magnoliopsida; Rosales; Rhamnaceae. The record is from RefSeq and is a predicted model, not a curated record. The transcript is spliced from 5 exons.